GGAAAUAGCUCCAUCAUUAGAUCGUACCCUAAACCAACACAGGUGGACUGGUAGAGAAUACCAAGGCGCUUGAGAGAACGAUGUUGAAGGAACUCGGCAAAAUACCUCCGUAAGUUCGCGAGAAGGAGGCCCAGUUUCUACGCAAGUAUUGACUGGGGGCACAAACCAGGGGGUGGCGACUGUUUACUAAAAACACAGGGCUCUGCGAAGUCGCAAGACGACGUAUAGGGUCUGACGCCUGCCCGGUGCCUGAAGGUUAAAAGGAGAGGUGAGAGCCUUGAAUUGAAGCCCAGGUAAACGGCGGCCGUAACUAUAACGGUCCUAAGGUAGCGAAAUUCCUUGUCGGGUAAGUUCCGACCUGCACGAAUGGCGUAACGACUUCCCCGCUGUCUCCAACAUCGACUCAGCGAAAUUGAAUUGCCUGUCAAGAUGCAGGCUUCCCGCGGUUAGACGGAAAGACCCCGUGCACCUUUACUACAGCUUCACAUUGGCAUCAGGCACAACAUGUGCAGGAUAGGUGGUAGGCUUUGAAGCGCAGACUCCAGUUUGCGUGGAGCCAUCCUUGAGAUACCACCCUUGUUCUGCUUGAUGUCUAACCGCGGUCCGUUAUCCGGAUCCGGGACCCUGUGUGGCGGGUAGUUUGACUGGGGCGGUCGCCUCCUAAAGCGUAACGGAGGCGCGCGAAGGUUGGCUCAGAGCGGUCGGAAAUCGCUCGUUGAGUGCAAUGGCAGAAGCCAGCCUGACUGCGAGACUGACAAGUCGAGCAGAGUCGAAAGACGGCCAUAGUGAUCCGGUGGUCCCGAGUGGAAGGGCCAUCGCUCAACGGAUAAAAGGUACGCCGGGGAUAACAGGCUGAUGGUGCCCAAGAGUCCAUAUCGACGGCACCGUUUGGCACCUCGAUGUCGGCUCAUCUCAUCCUGGGGCUGGAGCAGGUCCCAAGGGUACGGCUGUUCGCCGUUUAAAGAGGUACGUGAGCUGGGUUUAGAACGUCGUGAGACAGUUCGGUCCCUAUCUGCCGUGGGUGUAGGAUACUUGAGAGGAGUUGCCCCUAGUACGAGAGGACCGGGGUGAACGAUCCACUGGUGUACCAGUUGUUCCGCCAGGAGCAGUGCUGGGUAGCUAUGAUCGGACAGGAUAACCGCUGAAGGCAUCUAAGCGGGAAGCCCCCCUCAAAACAAGGUAUCCCUGAGAGCCGUGGAAGACCACCACGUCGAUAGGCCGGAGAUGUAAGUGCGGUAACGCACUCAGUUGACCGGUACUAAUUGCUCGAUAGGCUUGAU
Molecule: ribosomal RNA, 1280 nt
Filed under: Nereida ignava
Lineage: Bacteria; Pseudomonadati; Pseudomonadota; Alphaproteobacteria; Rhodobacterales; Roseobacteraceae
Description: bacterial LSU rRNA
Rfam family: Bacterial large subunit ribosomal RNA
Source: RNAcentral